This 274-nucleotide ribosomal RNA is filed under the name uncultured bacterium. RNAcentral's name for it is "partial 16S ribosomal RNA". It matches the Rfam family "Bacterial small subunit ribosomal RNA", at positions 523 to 796 of the family's 1533-position model. The record is from RNAcentral.
AUACGGAGGGUGCAAGCGUUGUUCGGAAUCACUGGGCGUAAAGGGCGCGCAGGCGGUUUGGUAAGUCGGAUGAGAAAGCCCACGGCUCAACCGUGGAAGUGCAUUUGAAACUGUCAGACUUGAGUACUAGAGGGGAAAGUGGAAUUCCCGGUGUAGAGGUGAAAUUCGUAGAUAUCGGGAGGAAUACCGGUGGCGAAGGCGACUUUCUGGCUAGAUACUGACGCUGAGGUGCGAAAGCGUGGGGAGCAAACAGGAUUAGAAACCCGAGUAGUCC